UAAACCUGGUUGAUCCUGCCAGUAGUCAUAUGCUUGUCUCAAAGAUUAAGCCAUGCAUGUCUAAGUAUAAAUGACUUUAUACAGUGAAACUGCGAAUGGCUCAUUAAAUCAGUUAUAGUUUAUUUGAUAAUACCUUACUACUUGGAUAACCGUGGUAAUUCUAGAGCUAAUACAUGCUACAUAACCCGACUUCU
RNAcentral lists this ribosomal RNA (194 nucleotides) under uncultured eukaryote. Its description in RNAcentral is "partial 18S ribosomal RNA". It matches the Rfam family "Eukaryotic small subunit ribosomal RNA", at positions 1 to 191 of the family's 1831-position model. The record is from RNAcentral.